Molecule: ribosomal RNA, 476 nt
Filed under: uncultured anaerobic ammonium-oxidizing bacterium
Lineage: Bacteria
Description: bacterial SSU rRNA
Rfam family: Bacterial small subunit ribosomal RNA
Source: RNAcentral
UUCGCAAUGCCCGAAAGGGUGACGAUGCGACGCCGCGUGAGCGAAGAAGGCCCUAGGGUUGUAAAGCUCUGUCGAGGGUUAUGAAAUAUAGAUGGGUUAAUACCCCAUUUAUUUGACAAAAGCCCAAAAGGAAGCCACGGCUAACUCUGUGCCAGCAGCCGCGGUAAUACAGAGGUGGCGAGCGUUGUUCGGUAUUAUUGGGCGUAAAGAGCACGUAGGUGGUUUUGUAAGUCAGGUGUGAAAGCCUUCUGUUCAAAGGAAGAACGGCAUCUGAAACUGCAGAUCUUGAGUGUAGGAGGGGAGAGUGGAACUUCUGGUGGAGCGGUGAAAUGCGUAGAUAUCAGAAGGAACGUCGGCGGCGAAAGCGACUCUCUGGCCUAUUACUGACACUGAGGUGCGAAAGUUAGGGGAGCAAACGGGAUUAGAUACCCCGGUAGUCCUAAACGUAAACGAUGGGCACUAAGUAGAGGGGUUUU